GUCGGUGGGAUCAAAAGGAAAAAUAUCCCCUAAUGCAUACCAGGGGUGCCCGCGUGUCUGUCUGUCUAUCUGUGUGUGUAAAGAGCACGUAUUACAACAUAUGUUGUAAAUGUUGUUUCCUACCGUGCAUCCGGAAAGUAUUCACAGCGCUUCACUUUUUCCACAUUUUAUGAUGUUACAGCCUUAUUCCAAAAUGGAUUCAAUUCAUUAUUCUCCUCAAAAUUCUACAAACAACACCCCAUAAUGACAACGUGAAAGAAGUUUGUUUGAAAUCUGUGCAAAUUUAUUAAAAAUAAAAAACAAAAAAAGCACGUACUAUUGCUUAUAGAAUUUUGAGGAAAAUAAUGAAUUUAAUCCAUGUUAAUGAAGACGGUUGUUAUUUUGCCUGUCACAGACCUUUGCGCGGCCCGGGGCUAAUGCAUCCCUUGGGGCCCCAAUUAUUUGCCAGUUAUAUUCCAUCAACUGCUAAAUCAAAUGUGCAAUCAAAGAACCGUAAAGACUAAAGGCACAUCGUACUCUGUAAACAACAAAUAUGCCAAAAUGCUCAAACAGUUAGCGCAUAGUGAACACUUGCAUUAAAUUUGUUGAUCAAAUAAAAAUAAAGAGAAAUACAGAGAGCAUAUCAUCAACCCAUAUAGGCUAAAAAUAAUCCACAUAAAUUAAACAAUGGUAUCGAGUAAUAAUUUUACAAGUCAGAAACAGCCCAGCAAAUAAAAUUAAUUAAAUCUCACUCAGCACUUAAAGGACUUCUUCCUGCUUCUCCUCAAAGAGAAUACCUCGAUUAAAUAGUUAAAAUCAAGUUGGCGCAGAAUGUUGUACUCACUUGACAUCACUGGCAAACAGUCCAGCCUUUGUCCAUGCAUUGAUGUCCUCAGUCUAUUUUUUAUAAGCGCCAAUUUUGAACCCCCUGAUUCAGAAGUCUUUGCCGAAGGAGGGGGCAUAUCAUCAUCCAGGUGGAUGCUACACACUGGUGUUGGUUGAGAAGAUAACCCCCUAUACAAUGUAAAGCGCUUUGAGUGCCUAGAAAAGAAAAGAAUUUCACGGUGCUGUAAUGUACAAGUGACAAAAAAAAAAGGCUUUUAUUUUCUUAAGACUGAAAUUAAAAAUGAAGAUUCUUAAGACUCCAGUAGAUUACUGAAUAGACUAUAAUUGUGACAACAUAACUACACAAACAAACGAUUAAGUAUAAUCGAUUGAGUAUAAAAUGACAGUUGUAUUUCUUGAGUUUCUCAUUUCAGGAAUGUUCACAAUAGGUAGCGCUGGCUGUGGACUUUGCCACGGGAUUUUGCUACUGAAAGAUCUUACGCAUGGCCUGGGAGGCUGUCUUGUUGGCCUCAGACAGGAACAUCUUGGGGGGUCUUGGGGGGUCGUCGCGUCAAUCUCUAGCAGGGGCUUUGCAGGUGAGACUGCCUCUUGGGUCUUAGACUGGAGCUAUGGAGUUGAGGUCACCACACUGAACUCCGGCUGGAGCUCCGCAGGGGAAACCGCCUCGUAGGUCUCAGGCUAGAGCUCUGGAGAUACGGUCACCACUUUGACCUCUGGCUAGAGCUCGGCAGGGGAGACAACCUCGUGGGUCUCCGGCUGGAGCUAUGGAGUCGAGGUCGCCACGUUGACCUGUGGCUGGAGCUCGGCAGGGAAGACCACCUAGUGAACCUCAGGCAGGAGAUCUGGAGAGGAAACAACCUUGUAGUAGGUGGUGAACAGCUUUGCAGGUUUGUUCAUCGAAAAAAUCAUCCAGGUUGGGGGUUGUACUCAAGACUCCCAAACUCAUUUAUCAAUAGUCACAUAAACUCAGCUACGUUGUUAAGUCCAUUGGAUUCUGUACUGGCCAGACGCUCUGCCCAGUGGUGGGCUUGGUCAACAAGCCGGGACAGUAUGAUCGCCAGCCACUGUCUCUGGUCAGGCUUGGGGUGCGCCAGGCUCAAAAAAUAUUAUUGGCAGUCAAACAGAAAAUACUCAGGGUAGCCAAAAAAUCUAUUGAAAAGGCUCUGGGGGACAUAUUAGUCUGGGCAACAGUAAUAAGUCUCAGCUUAUAUUAUAAACUCAAUUUCCCUUAAUCAAGAUUUUCAUCUAUAUUGCCUUUUUUCCCCAAACCGACUUUUAUGACAAGCGCCUCAGUUCGGCUGAGCGAUUGACAUGCUGGAAUCUUACUGUAGUUAGUUGGCUAGUUAACUUUUGCUCACACGGACGGUUUCCCAAAGAGAGACAGUUGAGGAGGCAAAGGGAAGUAGCUGUAAGAAGGGAAGGCGUUUCUGCAAGUGAGUCCCUCAUGCUAUGCAGUGAGCACAUCAAGCCAGAGGACUUUGAAAGGACAGGUCAGACUGUCAGGAUUAAAGAUGGAGAUAAACCAUCUGUCUUCAGUUUCCCCACUUAUCUUCAAACAGCAGGUGUAUCGAUAGGCUAUAAUGAAUUAAUAGUAUGUCAUCAAAUCGUGGCUCGUUAUUAUUAUUAUUAUUAUUAUCAUUAUUAUUAUUAUUAUUAGCUAUUACAAAUGUAUUAUUAUUAUUAUUAUUAUCAUCAUCAUCAUCAUCAUCAUCACAUAAAUGUUUUUACCACUGUACCUGUAAAUGUUUUUUCC
Molecule: long non-coding RNA, 2578 nt
Organism: Ictalurus punctatus (channel catfish)
Lineage: Eukaryota; Metazoa; Chordata; Actinopteri; Siluriformes; Ictaluridae
Source: Ensembl